RNAcentral lists this ribosomal RNA (356 nucleotides) under uncultured bacterium. RNAcentral's name for it is "partial 16S ribosomal RNA". It matches the Rfam family "Bacterial small subunit ribosomal RNA", at positions 338 to 691 of the family's 1533-position model. The record is from RNAcentral.
CCUACGGGAGGCAGCAGUGAGGAAUAUUGGUCAAUGGACGCAAGUCUGAACCAGUCAUGCCGCGUGCAGGAAGACGGCUCUAUGAGUUGUAAACUGCUUUGGUACGAGGGUAAACGCAGAUACGCGUAGAUGUCUGAAAGUAGCGUACGAAUAAGGAUCGGCUAACUCCGUGCCAGCAGCCGCGGUAAGACGGCGGAAUCAAGCGUUGUCCGGAUUUAUGGGGUGUAAAGGGGGCGUAGGGGGUCGGCUAAGUUAGAGGUGAAAUCCCGAGGCUCAACUUCGGAAUUGCCUCUGAUACUGUUCGGCUAGCGUGUAGUUGCGGUAGGCGGCAUGUCUGGUGUAGCGGUGCAAUGCUU